AAAUAGAUAGUGAUGGGGAAUAGUACAUAAAGAGAGGAUUUAAAGCGAGUCGUUGAAUGGUGAAAGCACGAUAAUGGAUUUUUAUGGAAUGCAGCCCUUGAAUCUCUUAUCGAGAAAGAGGAAUUAUAUUAUAAUUCUUACAAUAGAGACAGACGUGUCCUCACGUUAUGAGGAAUGAAACUAUAAGUUUUCAAUAGAGAGAGUGCUUUUGCACUAACUAGGGUGGUACCGCGAAACUUCUUCGUCCCUUUU
Molecule: non-coding RNA, 252 nt
Filed under: Clostridium botulinum
Lineage: Bacteria; Bacillati; Bacillota; Clostridia; Eubacteriales; Clostridiaceae
Description: T-box sequence
Rfam family: T-box leader
About the family: Uncharged tRNA acts as the effector for transcription antitermination of genes in the T-box leader family. T-boxes are found upstream of many aminoacyl-tRNA synthetase genes and some amino acid biosynthetic genes usually in Gram-positive bacteria.
Source: RNAcentral